Molecule: ribosomal RNA, 253 nt
Filed under: uncultured bacterium
Lineage: Bacteria
Description: partial 16S ribosomal RNA
Rfam family: Bacterial small subunit ribosomal RNA
Source: RNAcentral
UACGGAGGGUGCAAACGUUGCUCGGAAUCAUUGGGCGUAAAGCGCACGUAGGCGGUCUGGUAAGUCGGAUGUGAAAUCCCUCGGCUCAACAGAGGAAGUGCAUUCGAAACUGCCAGACUUGAAUAUGGAAGAGGGUCGCGGAAUUCCCGGUGUAGAGGUGAAAUUCGUAGAUAUCGGGAGGAACACCAGUGGCGAAGGCGGCGACCUGGGCCAAUAUUGACGCUGAGGUGCGAAAGCGUGGGGAGCAAACAGG